This 62-nucleotide transfer RNA is filed under the name Escherichia coli. Its description in RNAcentral is "tRNA-Ala". It matches the Rfam family "tRNA", at positions 6 to 65 of the family's 71-position model. Rfam says of the family: Transfer RNA (tRNA) molecules are approximately 80 nucleotides in length. Their secondary structure includes four short double-helical elements and three loops (D, anti-codon, and T loops). Further hydrogen bonds mediate the characteristic L-shaped molecular structure. tRNAs have two regions of fundamental functional importance: the anti-codon, which is responsible for specific mRNA codon recognition, and the 3' end, to which the tRNAs corresponding amino acid is attached (by aminoacyl-tRNA synthetases). tRNAs cope with the degeneracy of the genetic code in two manners: having more than one tRNA (with a specific anti-codon) for a particular amino acid; and 'wobble' base-pairing, i.e. permitting non-standard base-pairing at the 3rd anti-codon position. The record is from RNAcentral. Lineage: Bacteria; Pseudomonadati; Pseudomonadota; Gammaproteobacteria; Enterobacterales; Enterobacteriaceae. RNAcentral also lists the same sequence under 12 other names.
UAUAGCUCAGCUGGGAGAGCGCUUGCAUGGCAUGCAAGAGGUCAGCGGUUCGAUCCCGCUUA